GAUGAACGCUGGCGGCGUGCCUAAUACAUGCAAGUCGAGCGAACAGACGAGGAGCUUGCUCCUCUGACGUUAGCGGCGGACGGGUGAGUAACACGUGGAUAACCUACCUAUAAGACUGGGAUAACUUCGGGAAACCGGAGCUAAUACCGGAUAAUAUAUUGAACCGCAUGGUUCAAUAGUGAAAGACGGUUUUGCUGUCACUUAUAGAUGGAUCCGCGCCACAUUAGCUAGUUGGUAAGGUAACGGCUUACCAAGGCAACGAUGCGUAGCCGACCUGAGAGGGUGAUCGGCCACACUGGAACUGAGACACGGUCCAGACUCCUACGGGAGGCAGCAGUAGGGAAUCUUCCGCAAUGGGCGAAAGCCUGACGGAGCAACGCCGCGUGAGUGAUGAAGGUCUUCGGAUCGUAAAACUCUGUUAUUAGGGAAGAACAAAUGUGUAAGUAACUAUGCACGUCUUGACGGUACCUAAUCAGAAAGCCACGGCUAACUACGU
RNAcentral lists this ribosomal RNA (496 nucleotides) under uncultured bacterium. Its description in RNAcentral is "partial 16S ribosomal RNA". It matches the Rfam family "Bacterial small subunit ribosomal RNA", at positions 28 to 506 of the family's 1533-position model. The record is from RNAcentral.